AGUCAUUGGCCUCGCCCUACCACACGUCGACCCCUUUCCUCAUUGCCGACUCUAACCGGCGUUACUUUUGCCACAUAACCACUUCAAAGUGGACGCCGUAAGGCCACGUGCACCUCCGAGAUCGACCUUUUAACUCCUUCAGCUCGCGAGGCUUGGAGUUCGAGAAGAAACAGAAUUGAUCCGAGCUCCCAUGAAUGGGAUUCGUUCACGUUCGGAAGCAUAUUAUGUCCACGUGAAACCAGAUCGAGCAGCGAAACGGCGAGGCGACACUAAUGUUUUUUCAGCCAUGCCUGCGAGUUGGUUAUAAUGUGCGGACUGCAUUACAAAUCGUUCGAAUGCAUGCUGAAAAAUCAUAACCGAGGUACAGAAUUUGCCAGGAUGUACCGUCGCGACUGACUUUGUAGAAGGUCAAAAAAGUUGCCAAACCUAACUUGACGCGUCACCGCAAUUUCCAUUCAUUCUUUCGCUGCCGCCGUUUCUAUACGACGUAGUUGUUCAGCAAAAAACGUAUACAAUGAAAGUUAAAGUUACGAGUCACCAGCACCCCCCAAUCUCACCUGCCUGGAAUUGUUUACGUAUGAUCUGUGGGCCACCUCGGGAGCUUUCGGUCGUCCAGUGGUACCGGAAGUGAAUUGAAUAACCAUGCCGCUCCCGGGAGAGAUUUCACCCUGUUCAGCACCGAUGGCUUCCACUUCAAUGCUGCUGGCCAGGGACUCGACGUCGACGAAUCUCCUGGUGCCACUGUGAUGGAUGACAUUUUUUAGGAAAAAUUAAUUAAAAUCCACUCACGAAAGUUAAUCCCGAGUGUUAUUCUUCACAUCUAUAUGUAAUCUGCGUGUAUAAUUUGAACGAAUAAUUGUUCAAACUUU
RNAcentral lists this long non-coding RNA (869 nucleotides) under Neodiprion lecontei (redheaded pine sawfly). Its description in RNAcentral is "uncharacterized LOC124293328". Lineage: Eukaryota; Metazoa; Arthropoda; Insecta; Hymenoptera; Diprionidae. The record is from RNAcentral.